Molecule: transfer RNA, 110 nt
Filed under: Moritella sp. PE36
Lineage: Bacteria; Pseudomonadati; Pseudomonadota; Gammaproteobacteria; Alteromonadales; Moritellaceae
Description: tRNA-Lys
Source: RNAcentral
GGUAAGUUGGCUAACCCAGCAAAGUGAUUAUUUUUUACUUAGUCAUCCUGUGCAGUACAAUCGUGACACGGAUUGCUAUGAAGCGGUUAGUUGGCAACAGGCAUUUACCC